UAUCAAUAUAUGAAAUGAAACACCAUUAACCAACAACAUAUACUUAUAGAUCCAAAUACAUAAACUAAAAUAAAACCCUUAUUAUGAGAGUGAUCUCACCAUAUUCACAUUCAUAUAAAAUUGACAACCGAAACAAUAGAUGAGAACUUACUUAAGUUUUUAUUAAAAAGCUACUAAAUAAAAUCAACAACCUCCUCCACCACCGCCGCCGCAACCUCCUCCACCCCCGCCGCCGCCGCAGGCGGAGGCACCGCCGCCAGCGCUGGCGGCGGCGGCGGCGCCGAUGCCACCGAAUCCACCGCCGCUUGUUCGUUGAGGCUUGUCGUCGUCGUCGCAGUCAGCACAAGCAGUGAUAAGCAGAGACAAAAGUGAAACGGAUACAAGAAGCAUGCCUAGCACGUAGAUGAGCCCUGCACCCUCAAAUACUCCAUUUUCAAAUUCAACACCUACGUUUCUCACCAUUUUUUUUUAUCCUGCAAAAUGAAGAGGAUAACUCACACUCACACAGGCUUUUAUUAUAGAUGGUUGCAUUUAUUUGAAUCCUAUGUAUUUUUUUUAACUUGGUUCUGAUUCACUGAACGAUCUUUUUCGCUGAUACGUGGUACAAACGUACAAGUCACGUAGACGAG
This 629-nucleotide long non-coding RNA is filed under the name Salvia miltiorrhiza (redroot sage). RNAcentral describes it as "long non-coding RNA (SMIL_LNC011909)". The record is from RNAcentral. Lineage: Eukaryota; Viridiplantae; Streptophyta; Magnoliopsida; Lamiales; Lamiaceae.